UAGCUUGAGAAAAACAUUCACUCUUGCUUAUGUGAAGCUUGGGUAAGGUUGAAAAUAAAUAAUUGGAGCCCGAAAUUGUGAAUACUGAAACUUGGAGGAAGCAGAUUAGUUGAGGUUUUAAGGGCUGUGUUCUUUUA
Molecule: non-coding RNA, 137 nt
Organism: Arachis ipaensis
Lineage: Eukaryota; Viridiplantae; Streptophyta; Magnoliopsida; Fabales; Fabaceae
Source: RefSeq, a predicted model, not a curated record